GAACUGUGUUCUUUGUAUCUUUGUAAGCUCCAGUACAAUACAUCCAUCCCACCCCACCACUCCCACCACCCCGCAUGAUUUCAAUCACUAAUUGAAUGACCCUUGAUAAAGAUCCAGAAAACUUGAAGCUACUACUCCAACACCACAUCUGCCUGAAUGCUAUCAUGCUUCCUGCCAUGAUGACAAUGGACUAAACUUGUGAGCCUUAUACAGAUCUGCUCUGAGUUAGCUUCUACCAUAUACAGCACUAUAAGAGAUGACUGAGUACCAAGACUAAAGGUACCUGGAUGAUUUUUUCCUCCCGGGUACUGCCUUGAAUUCCUGCCCUGACCUUGUUGGAUGAUGUACUGCCAGCUGUGAGAUGAAAUAAACCGUUUUCUCCUCAGCUGCCUUUUGGUCAUGGUGUUUAUUACAGCAGUAG
Molecule: long non-coding RNA, 421 nt
Filed under: Cricetulus griseus (Chinese hamster)
Lineage: Eukaryota; Metazoa; Chordata; Mammalia; Rodentia; Cricetidae
Description: lncRNA (ENSCGRG00015032329.1)
Source: RNAcentral